GAUGAACGCUGGCGGCGUGCCUAAUACAUGCAAGUCGAGCGAACGGACGAGAAGCUUGCUUCUCUGAUGUUAGCGGCGGACGGGUGAGUAACACGUGGAUAACCUACCUAUAAGACUGGGAUAACUUCGGGAAACCGGAGCUAAUACCGGAUAAUAUUUUGAACCGCAUGAUUCAAAAGUGAAAGACGGUCUUGCUGUCACUUAUAGAUGGAUCCGCGCUGCAUUAGCUAGUUGGUAAGGUAACGGCUUACCAAGGCAACGAUGCAUAGCCGACCUGAGAGGGUGAUCGGCCACACUGGAACUGAGACACGGUCCAGACUCCUACAGGAGGCAGCAGUAGGGAAUCUUCCGCAAUGGGCGAAAGCCUGACGGAGCAACGCCGCGUGAGUGAUGAAGGUCUUCGGAUCGUAAAACUCUGUUAUUAGGGAAGAACAUAUGUGUAAGUAACUGUGCACAUCUUGACGGUACCUAAUCAGAAAGCCACGGCUAACUACGUG
This 497-nucleotide ribosomal RNA is filed under the name uncultured bacterium. RNAcentral describes it as "partial 16S ribosomal RNA". It matches the Rfam family "Bacterial small subunit ribosomal RNA", at positions 28 to 507 of the family's 1533-position model. The record is from RNAcentral.